GGGGUUGUAGAUCAGUGGUAGAGUGCUUGCCUUGCAUGCAUGAGGCCCUGGGUACGAAUCUCAGCAUCUCAU
RNAcentral lists this transfer RNA (72 nucleotides) under Ictidomys tridecemlineatus (thirteen-lined ground squirrel). Its description in RNAcentral is "Spermophilus tridecemlineatus (thirteen-lined ground squirrel) tRNA". It matches the Rfam family "tRNA". Rfam says of the family: Transfer RNA (tRNA) molecules are approximately 80 nucleotides in length. Their secondary structure includes four short double-helical elements and three loops (D, anti-codon, and T loops). Further hydrogen bonds mediate the characteristic L-shaped molecular structure. tRNAs have two regions of fundamental functional importance: the anti-codon, which is responsible for specific mRNA codon recognition, and the 3' end, to which the tRNAs corresponding amino acid is attached (by aminoacyl-tRNA synthetases). tRNAs cope with the degeneracy of the genetic code in two manners: having more than one tRNA (with a specific anti-codon) for a particular amino acid; and 'wobble' base-pairing, i.e. permitting non-standard base-pairing at the 3rd anti-codon position. Lineage: Eukaryota; Metazoa; Chordata; Mammalia; Rodentia; Sciuridae. The record is from Rfam by way of RNAcentral.